This 380-nucleotide unclassified non-coding RNA is filed under the name uncultured Actinomycetes bacterium. RNAcentral's name for it is "uncultured actinobacterium contains 16S-23S intergenic spacer region". The record is from RNAcentral. Lineage: Bacteria; Bacillati; Actinomycetota; Actinomycetes.
UCCGAGUUGACCCCGGCGGUCUCCCACGAGUCCCCACCAUUACGUGCUGGCAACGUAGGACAAGGGUUGCGCUCGUUGCGGGACUUAACCCAACAUCUCACGACACGAGCUGACGACAGCCAUGCAGCACCUGUCUUGGAGCUCCGAAGAGGGGCCGUGGUUCCUUACGGCUUUCCCCAAGAUGUCAAGCCCAGGUAAGGUUCUUCGCGUUGCGUCGAAUUAAACCACAUGCUCCGCUGCUUGUGCGGGUCCCCGUCAAUUCCUUUGAGUUUUAGCCUUGCGGCCGUACUCCCCAGGCGGGGCACUUAAUGCGUUAGCGUCGGCACGGGAGGAGUCGACACCUCCCACACCUAGUGCCCAUCGUUUACGGCGUGGACUAC